CUCCCCCGUUUGCUGACCCCCAGGUUCGAUAGCGCCAAUUAGGCGCAACCUCGCCAAGAACCAACUUCGGUGAAGCGACGGGCGGUGUGUGCAAGGAGCAGGGG
RNAcentral lists this ribosomal RNA (104 nucleotides) under uncultured archaeon. RNAcentral's name for it is "partial 16S ribosomal RNA". The record is from RNAcentral.